This 936-nucleotide long non-coding RNA is filed under the name Ananas comosus (pineapple). RNAcentral's name for it is "long non-coding RNA (ACOM_LNC039867)". Lineage: Eukaryota; Viridiplantae; Streptophyta; Magnoliopsida; Poales; Bromeliaceae. The record is from RNAcentral.
UAUAUAUAUAUAUAUAUAUAUAUAGAGAGAGAGAGAGAGAGAGAGAGAGAGAGUUUGACUACUAUGCUAUUGAUAGUACCAAGUUCUUGAUACUAUUGAGUUUUUACCGUUAGAUCUACUCUUUAAUCAUUUCCAUCCGUUAGAUUAUACUAUUAAACCAACUACCCACUCAAUCCUAGGGGACCACUAUCAAUUUAACCGGGGGCUACUAUCAUCCUAACCGCACAUCCUUUCAUCCAACGACAAAAAACUCAAUAGUACCAAGAGUUUGGUACUAUUGAUAGUAUAGUAGCAUAAUUCUAUAUAUAUAUAUAUAUAUAGUCCGGCUAUGGUGCUUGUAAAAGCACUAAACACUUGGUGCUUGUAAUUUUUUUACCAUUAGAUCUCAAUCUUUGAUCAUUUUUAUCCGUUAGAUUAUACUAUUCAACCAACCACCCACUCAACCCUAAGGGGCCCACAUCAUCCUAACCUCACAUCCCUUAAUCCAAGGGUCGACAACUUACAAGCACCAAUCACUUCAUACUUUUAAAAGCAUAGGAGCUCAAUUGUAUAUAUAUAUAUAUAUAUAUAUAUAUAUAUAUUGCUAUGAUAGUAUCAAAAUUUUCGAAUAAGAAUAUCUUUUGUAUUAUCUCAAUUUUUUGAGACAACAACUAUAAAUAAAAGUAGAACUAAAAUUAAAACCUAAAAAAUCUGAUGACCUCUUGCAUACCAUUGGUUUUUUAGAUACUUGAAUAGGUAAAAUAUGGAUUUUUUUUUUAGAGAAAUAUAGCAGAAUACUACCUAUUUUGUUUAUUUUUUUUUAUAAAUAAACUUUUAUAAAUAAACUUAGCUGAAAAUAUGAAUCAAUUAGGAUUCGAAUUUGGGACAUCAAGUACCAACGAUCAAAUCCUUUGCCACUUGCGUUAGAGAGAGACAGCUGUAGGUAAAAUAUAGAUU